This 94-nucleotide transfer RNA is filed under the name Coprinopsis marcescibilis. It matches the Rfam family "tRNA". Rfam says of the family: Transfer RNA (tRNA) molecules are approximately 80 nucleotides in length. Their secondary structure includes four short double-helical elements and three loops (D, anti-codon, and T loops). The record is from Rfam by way of RNAcentral. Lineage: Eukaryota; Fungi; Basidiomycota; Agaricomycetes; Agaricales; Psathyrellaceae.
GCCCGCAUAGCUCAAUCGGAUAGAGCGUCAGACUCUUACAAGUCACAGGCGGAAAGGAAUCUGAAGGCUGCGAGUUCGACCCUCGCGGUGGGCU